CAUGGGUCUACUUCCAGAUUCAUAUCUUCCUGAGCCACUGUGGCAUCGGCUCAUGAAGUUACACAGCUGGCUUCACAUUUCCUCAUUGCUUUUUGCACCAAGAGAGUUCUCUCACUUUGUUGUGUGAGUUCUUAAGGAUCUUGGUCUGAGUGGAUUAUCCUGAUUACCCAGAUGGGACCUAAAUGCCAUUACAAGUGACCUCAUAAGAAAGAGACAGAAGGAGAAUAGGCACCACACACACACAGGAGAAGGCAAUAUGAAGAUGGAGGCAGAGAUUGCAGUGAUGCGGCCAUAAGCCAAAGAAUGCAACAGCCCCCAGAAGCCGGAAGAGGCAAGGAAAGGAUGCUCCCCUGGAACCUCCAAAAGGAACAGCCCUGCUGACACCCUGAGGUCUGACUUCUGACCUCCAAAACUGUAAGAGAAUAAAUGUCUAUUGUUUUAAACCAUCAAGUUUGUGGUAAUUUGUUACAGCACCCACAGGAAACUAAUACACCUGCUAAGC
Molecule: long non-coding RNA, 502 nt
Filed under: Homo sapiens (human)
Lineage: Eukaryota; Metazoa; Chordata; Mammalia; Primates; Hominidae
Description: HSALNT0166344
Source: RNAcentral